CGAAAGUCCGACGGAGCAACGCCGCGUGAGUGAAGAAGGUUUUCGGAUCGUAAAGCUCUGUCUUUGAGGACGAAUGUGCUUAAUGUGAAUAAUGUUAAGUAAUGACGGUACUCGAGGAGGAAGCCACGGCUAACUACGUGCCAGCAGCCGCGGUAAUACGUAGGUGGCAAGCGUUGUCCGGAAUUAUUGGGCGUAAAGCGCGCGCAGGCGGGAUAUUAAGUCUGUUUUAAAAGUUCGGGGCUCAACCCCGUGAUGGAAUGGAAACUAAUAUUCUUGAGUGCAGGAGAGGAAAGUGGAAUUCCCAGUGUAGCGGUGAAAUGCGUAGAUAUUGGGAGGAACACCAGUGGCGAAGGCGACUUUCUGGACUGUGUCUGACGCUGAGGCGCGAAAGCCAGGGGAGUGAACGGGAUUAGAUACCCCGGUAAUCCUGGCCGUAAACGAUGGGUACUAGGUGUAGGAGGUAUCGACCCCUUCUGUGCCGGAGUUAACGCAAUAAGUACCCCGCCUGGGGAGUA
Molecule: ribosomal RNA, 515 nt
Filed under: uncultured bacterium
Lineage: Bacteria
Description: bacterial SSU rRNA
Rfam family: Bacterial small subunit ribosomal RNA
Source: RNAcentral